Molecule: unclassified non-coding RNA, 1315 nt
Filed under: Hevea brasiliensis (rubber tree)
Lineage: Eukaryota; Viridiplantae; Streptophyta; Magnoliopsida; Malpighiales; Euphorbiaceae
Source: RNAcentral
UGGUGGUGGUGGUGGUGGUGGUGGAAGUGGAAGAAGUGAUGGUUGUGGCUUUUAUGGGUCUAUAAUCUUCACAUCCGGGAUUGAGAAAUUCUGGAUUAAUGUUUCAGUGAUGGGUAUUUCUUAGCAAGUCAAUCAAAAUACAUGCGGUUAAGAUUGGGGUGCUUGUAGCUUGGGAAACGUGACAUGGAUGGGACCUGACUCUAAUACCUUUAGGAAGCAGAAGUGGACCAUGAAUUGGGUGACUUCUUUAGCAAUUGGAUGGAACAACUUACUCCUCUGUCCUAUUGCCUUUAAAAGGAAACUACAUCUUUGUUAUGAUGUCUAGUCCUUUAUAUAUUCUCCUCCUAUAAAUUUUAGUUACCGAGCAAAAUUUAGGCCUAUAGUAUUAGGUACAGUGUGCAUACUGUUAAAUCUCGGUUAGAUUAGUCUCACUCCAAUUCUGUAGGUUAACGUCUUGCUUUUGUAAUUUCAUCUUUAUUUCAUCUAAGUCAUCUUUUUCUUCGUUUUCUAAUGUACGGCAUUGAUUAGGGUGGUAGCUUCCUAGUUUAGUUUUGCUUUAUUUUCACCUUUAAACUGUCUUUUCUCUUGUAACUGCCUUACUCGGUUCUUUGUUGCCUGAAUUGGCUUCUCAACAAUCAACACCUCUUUAUAUAUAUACCAUCUCUUUCUUUGUUUCUUUUAGAUAUGUCUAACUCCCCCGUGUACGGUCUACAUGGGUGUUGUUUCCUCCUUGCCAUCUUUUCUGUUUUUUAAGAGGGGAAGUGGCAAGUGAAAGUGAAAGUAGUUACUGCAUUUGCUUCUUGGGUUUGUAAUUGUAAGGUCAAUCCAAUCCGCGUUGCUUCUUUGAGUUGUAAGCCAUUAGUUUCUCGUUCUUUUGAGUGGAUAACAGGGCGUCCUCCUAGUCUUCAUAGAGCUUGUCUUUGUUGGAGAUUGUUGACCAUACCAUGCUAUUUGUGAGGCCACGGUUGGGGAAGAUUUCAGGAGGCUGCUUUUAUAUUAGAUGUGCAUUAUAGCGUAAUAUUUUCUUAAAAGCUAGUUUUAUUGUAAUCCAUAUGCAGUUUGUCUAGUCGCUUGUGUCCAAGAAAUACAUUCUAAUAUCUAUCUUGCCGUUUUGUAUCGAGUACGAGUCUUUUAAUCAGUCUGGUUGGCUUCUGAUAUUGGAUGAUGAUGUGUUUUACAGUUUCAUUUUAUGUCAGGACUGCAAUUCUAGUUUAAUUACCCUUGCCUCUUUUACAAGUUUAUUGCAUGUUUCUGCAAUUAUUUGAUGAAUCAAACAAGCUGUUCAUUAUUAUCAUUAAUCAGUAUUGUAAUUUGG